Molecule: long non-coding RNA, 950 nt
Organism: Canis lupus familiaris (dog)
Lineage: Eukaryota; Metazoa; Chordata; Mammalia; Carnivora; Canidae
Exons: 4
Source: RefSeq, a predicted model, not a curated record
ACUGUCCCUUCAUUGGGUCUGCUUUUCAUGUAUUUGGCAGUUCUUCUUUGCAGUUUGUGACUUGAACUGUAAAAAUAUUAUUUCUUCUUUUUGAUUGGUUUCAGGAAAAAAAUGAGGUAAAGAUACUUUUACUCAUCUUUUUUCCACACAAAACUCAUGAACAAUUUUAACUGAUGCAACUACAUUUUCUCCAUGCCUAAUUAAAGAGGUGGAAGUUGAGCUCUAAAUAUCUUAUGUGGAUACCAGAACAGAGACUGAAGAUGAAAGCAAGAGUUAAAAAUAUUGAGGGGAAGAGUGUUGGAAAUAGACUAUGCCAUGAGGAGCUCAAGGCAAGUUUUCCUCAAUUACUGAGAGCAGAAAUCUCUAAGUAGAAGAGGAAAGCAAAUCUUGAAAUCUAUUUUCAAAAAAACUAGAAGACAUGUCUGUACUAUUUGUAAGAGCUGGAGAAAGCAAAGAGAAAAAGCCCAAGCAUGUAGAGAAGGGCAAAAGGGGAGGAAGAGGGAGUUAUGUGACUCAGACUCAGAACGGAACAUGGAGCACGAUGCAAGGCUCAACCCUAGGACCCUGAGAAUAUGACCUGAGUAGAAUCCAAGAAUCACAUACUUAAAUGACUGAGCCACCUGGGUGCCCCUAUAAUCAACAUUUGUACUUUUAAUUCUCUGGUUAUUUUCUGGUAGUACUCUACAGGCUUCCAGUUAUGGAAUGAAGAAGUCACAAGAAUAGUAGGCACAGCAUUAGGAAUACAGUCAAUGAUACUGUAAUAGUGAUACAACGGAACAAAUGAUAGCUACACUUGCAGUGAACAUGGUGUAAUGUAUAAGCUUGUCAAAUCUCUAAAUUGUACAUCUAAAACACAAUGUAACAUGUGUCAACUAUACUCAAAAAUAAUAAAAUGGGAAUUAUAAAAUAUAUAUAUAAAUUACUUGUUGUCUAAUGCAUGUAAGUAUUCA